AUGAUCAAAGGCAUAGAUCUAACGGUAAAAUAUUUACAAGCACCAAAUGCUUAGUGCUUUUACAAGCAUCAUAGCCGGACUCUAUAUAUAUAUAUAUAUAUAUAGAGUUGAGCUAGAAUACUCUCAAAAGCACAAAAGGGGUGGUGUCUUUGAGUUUAUAGCCAUUGGAUGGAGAAAUGUGGGGUUGAAAUGAUGGUAGUCAGGUGGUGGUAGGUGGAAUAAUAUUUGAUCCAAAGGCUAUUAGUAAUCAAGAGGUAGAUCCAAGGGCUAGAAACUUAGAAGCACCAACGGAUUGGUGCUUCUAAAAGUAUUCUAGCUCAAUUCUAUAUAUAUAUAUAUAUAUAUAUAUAUAUAUAUAGAGAGAGAGAGAGAGAGAGAGAGGGAGAGAGAGAGAGAGAGAGAGAGAGAGAGAGAGCUAGACUCCUCUGUUUUCGAUAGUACGGGGGCCUCCGUACUUGUACGUUGUUUUCGAUGAUGAGACGUCCGAUU
This 489-nucleotide long non-coding RNA is filed under the name Ananas comosus (pineapple). Its description in RNAcentral is "long non-coding RNA (ACOM_LNC033721)". The record is from RNAcentral. Lineage: Eukaryota; Viridiplantae; Streptophyta; Magnoliopsida; Poales; Bromeliaceae.